CCCCGGUAAACGGCGGCCGUAACUAUAACGGUCCUAAGGUAGCGAAAUUCCUUGUCGGGUAAGUUCCGACCUGCACGAAUGGCGUAAUGAUGGCCAGGCUGUCUCCACCCGAGACUCAGUGAAAUUGAACUCGCUGUGAAGAUGCAGUGUACCCGCGGCAAGACGGAAAGACCCCGUGAACCUUUACUAUAGCUUGACACUGAACAUUGAGCCUUGAUGUGUAGGAUAGGUGGGAGGCUUUGAAGUGUGGACGCCAGUCUGCAUGGAGCCGACCUUGAAAUACCACCCUUUAAUGUUUGAUGUUCUAACGUGGACCCGUAAUCCGGGUUGCGGACAGUGUCUGGUGGGUAGUUUGACUGGGGCGGUCUCCUCCUAAAGAGUAACGGAGGAGCACGAAGGUUGGCUAAUCCUGGUCGGACAUCAGGAGGUUAGUGCAAUGGCAUAAGCCAGCUUGACUGCGAGCGUGACGGCGCGAGCAGGUGCGAAAGCAGGUCAUAGUGAUCCGGUGGUUCUGAAUGGAAGGGCCAUCGCUCAACGGAUAAAAGGUACUCCGGGGAUAACAGGCUGAUACCGCCCAAGAGUUCAUAUCGACGGCGGUGUUUGGCACCUCGAUGUCGGCUCAUCACAUCCUGGGGCUGAAGUAGGUCCCAAGGGUAUGGCUGUUCGCCAUUUAAAGUGGUACGCGAGCUGGGUUUAGAACGUCGUGAGACAGUUCGGUCCCUAUCUGCCGUGGGCGCUGGAGAACUGAGGGGGGCUGCUCCUAGUACGAGAGGACCGGAGUGGACGCAUCACUGGUGUUCGGGUUGUCAUGCCAAUGGCACUGCCCGGUAGCUAAAUGCGGAAGAGAUAAGUGCUGAAAGCAUCUAAGCACGAAACUUGCCCCGAGAUGAGUUCUCCCUGAGACUUAGAGUCUCCUGAAGGAACGUUGAAGACGACGACGUUGAUAGGCCGGGUGUGUAAGCGCAGCGAUGCGUUGAGCUAACCGGUACUAAU
RNAcentral lists this ribosomal RNA (993 nucleotides) under Salmonella enterica. RNAcentral describes it as "partial 23S ribosomal RNA". It matches the Rfam family "Bacterial large subunit ribosomal RNA", at positions 1918 to 2905 of the family's 2925-position model. RNAcentral also lists the same sequence under 4 other names. Lineage: Bacteria; Pseudomonadati; Pseudomonadota; Gammaproteobacteria; Enterobacterales; Enterobacteriaceae. The record is from RNAcentral.